This is a microRNA precursor of Oryza sativa Indica Group (long-grained rice), 201 nucleotides long. It matches the Rfam family "MIR812 microRNA precursor family". The record is from Rfam. Lineage: Eukaryota; Viridiplantae; Streptophyta; Magnoliopsida; Poales; Poaceae.
AAUAAACCUUGAGUUUCCGUGUCCAACGUUUGACCGUCUGUCUUAUUUAAAAAAAUUAUAAAAAAAAUAAAAAGACAAAUCACGCAUAAAGUACUAAUCAUGUUUUAUCAUCUAACAAUAAUGAAAAUACUAAUUAUAAAAAAAAAUUAUAUAAGAUGCACAAUCAAGCGUUGAAUACGGAAACUUAGUGUUUGUGUUUUU